Molecule: ribosomal RNA, 416 nt
Filed under: Parvimonas micra
Lineage: Bacteria; Bacillati; Bacillota; Tissierellia; Tissierellales; Peptoniphilaceae
Description: bacterial SSU rRNA
Rfam family: Bacterial small subunit ribosomal RNA
Source: RNAcentral
CGGGCGUCUUAACAUGCAAGUCGAACGUGAUUUUUGUGGAAAGCCCUUCGGGGACGGAAAUGAAAUGAAAGUGGCGAACGGGUGAGUAACACGUGAGCAACCUACCUUACACAGGGGGAUAGCCGUUGGAAACGACGAUUAAUACCGCACGAGACCACAGAAUCGCAUGAUAUAGGGGUCAAAGAUUUAUCGGUGUAAGAAGGGCUCGCGUCUGAUUAGCUAGUUGGGAGGCUAAAGGCCUACCAAGGCGACGAUCAGUAGCCGGUCUGAGAGGAUGAACGGCCACAUUGGAACUGAGACACGGUCCAAACUCCUACGGGAGGCAGCAGUGGGGAAUAUUGCACAAUGGGGGGAACCCUGAUGCAGCGACGCCGCGUGAGCGAAGAAGGUCUUCGAAUCGUAAAGCUCUGUCCUAU